Molecule: ribosomal RNA, 379 nt
Filed under: uncultured Leptolinea sp.
Lineage: Bacteria; Bacillati; Chloroflexota; Anaerolineae; Anaerolineales; Anaerolineaceae
Description: bacterial SSU rRNA
Rfam family: Bacterial small subunit ribosomal RNA
Source: RNAcentral
GCAAGUGGUAGGAAGCCGAAACGGUGACCGACCUUCGGGAGCUUGCACAGGUGCUGCAUGGCUGUCGUCAGCUCGUGUCGUGAGAUGUUCGGUUAAGUCCGCUACGAGCGCAACCCUCGCUGUGUGUUAUAUGUGUCACACGGGACUGCCGGUCUUAAGCCGGAGGAAGGUGGGGAUGAUGUCAAGUCAGCAUGGCCUUUAUAUCCUGGGCUACACACACGCUACAAUGGCCAACACAAUAGGUUGCUAAGCCGCGAGGUGGCGCCAAUCCAUAAAGUUGGUCUCAGUUCAGAUUGUAGGCUGCAACCCGCCUGCAUGAAGAUGGAGUUGCUAGUAACCGCAGGUCAGCUAUACUGCGGUGAAUACGUUCCCGGGGCUU